UUUGGUGAACACUAGAUCGCUGAGUAAUAAAACUUCUAUUUCAAGGGAUUUAUUUAUGACCCAAGGACUGGAUUUCCUCUGUAUAACUGAGACAUGGUUGAGGGCCGGUGAGUCCAGCGUUUUCACAGAUCUCUUACCUGAUGACAGCUGCUUUUUAAACUCUCCUCGAAUAUCAGGCAGAGGAGGAGGACUAGCGGUUGUUUUUAAGAAGCAGUAUAAAUGUAAACCACUGCCCUUAUCAACAUUACGUAGUAGCUUUGAACUGAGUGUGUUUGAGCUGGGUCGCUCUCACACAGUGCUCUGUGCUGUGGUUUACAGACUCCGCAAAUACAAUAAGGACUUCUUAAAUGACUUUUCUGAUCUGUUGGCUGAAAUUAUGCCAAAAUACGAUCAUGUCCUUAUUAUUGGGGACUUCAAUAUUCACGUGUGCUGCCCUGACCAGCCAAUGGCAAAGGACUUUUUAAAUCUUAUUGACUCUUUUGAUCUUGUGCAACCUGUGUCUGUGCCUACACAAAAAUAUGGGCACACGUUGGAUCUUGUUUUAACUCAGUUUACCUGUCUCUAACUUAGAGCUAUGGUCGGAUCAUAAGCCUGUCUUGUUUGAGGUUUCCCUUCCUUGUACCAAAGUUAAUCUUCCUCCUGUUGUUGCUCGGUGCUGUCGUAUUUUUAAUCCUUCCUCUGCAGAUUCGCUGGCCCCCUUUAAGCUUAGGCAAGUUAAAGCCAAAUCUGAACCCUGGCUGAAUGGAGACCCCAGUGCUGCCAGAAGAAAGUGUAGGAGAGCUGAACGUAAAUGGAAGAAGGAUCAACUGCAGGUGGCAUACCAAAUAUUACAAAAUUACUGGAAUUCCUACCAGAAGACUGUAAAAGAUGCUAAGAGGAAACAUUUUGCUGCUAUUAUUCAUAUUAUCCUUCAUGUUCCACAGACUGUUGGUGUUGAGUCCUCUCAGGAAACUUGUGAAAACUUCCUACACUUCUUUAUUGAUAAAGUGCUCUCUGUGAAAGCGCAGAUUUCCCAGUCCGUUCUCGACCCUUCUACCCCUGUCCCUAGCUCUGCUGUCUUUGACAGGUUUGAGCCAGUUUCUUUGCUGUGCCUGCAGCAGUUGGUUGCUCAUCUGAAGCCCUCAGGUUCCCCUUAUGAUGCUCUCCCUCCUUGAUUUUUUUUCC
Oreochromis niloticus (Nile tilapia) is the source of this 1164-nucleotide long non-coding RNA. RefSeq lists it as uncharacterized. The transcript is spliced from 2 exons. The record is from RefSeq and is a predicted model, not a curated record. NCBI's taxonomy places the organism in Eukaryota, Metazoa, Chordata, Actinopteri, Cichliformes, Cichlidae.